AAUAGGUCUAGAGUGUGCUCUGGGGAUCUGCAUUUUAAAUCGUGUGUGAGUGAUUUUGAAGCAGAUGGCCCACAGGGCAAAUUGAAAGAAAUACUGCUUUAGCCUAAUAGCUAUCUUUUACAGUUGGGGAAAUUAAGGCUCAGGGAGAGACCCGAGUUGCAGUGACCCACAGGACCAGGAUCCAAGCUCCCCACUGCACAAGCCAGAGCUGCCCUCCGUUAGAAGAGAUGAGAUUUCCAAAGCUCCCAGCCACUUGAGCAUUUCAGGCACAUUCUCCGUUAUUGACAGGCACUAAUGGGGUAAUGAACUAAAGAGACCUGAGUUCACCCAAUAAUUGCAGGAAUACACUACCUCUCCUUAAAUAAAGUCAAAGAGAAGAGAUAGCAUCAUGCUCCUGGGAAUCCAAAAUGAAUAAAAAGACACACCAAGAGAAGGUAUAUGGUAUAUUCCUUAAAACUACACAAAUCUGUGGAAAUGAGACUGAAUCCCUCAAUCAGUAUGAAGAUAUGGACUCUGGGUGUGAUGAUUACAAAGGGGUAUGUUCCAAGACCUCUAGUGGAUGCCUGAAGCCAUGGAUGGUACCAAACCCUGUACACUAUGUUUUUUUUUUCUAUACAUACACAUCUGUGAUAAAGUUGAAUUGAUAAAUUAGGUACAAUAAAAGA
RNAcentral lists this long non-coding RNA (665 nucleotides) under Homo sapiens (human). RNAcentral's name for it is "HSALNT0405269". The record is from RNAcentral. Lineage: Eukaryota; Metazoa; Chordata; Mammalia; Primates; Hominidae.